AGGGCAAGUCUGGUGCCAGCAGCCGCGGUAAUUCCAGCUCCAAUAGCGUAUAUUAAAGUUGUUGCAGUUAAAAAGCUCGUAGUUGAAUUUCGGGGUUCUACCGUUGGUCGGGCUUUGUCUGUACUGGCGUGUAGAAUUUCUACCUUCUGGGGAACCAUUAUGUUAUUAAUUUAGCGUAGUGGGAAACCAGGACCUUUACCUUGAAAAAAUUAGAGUGUUCAAAGCAGGCUUAUGUCUGAAUACAUUAGCAUGGAAUAAUAGAAUAGGACGGUGGUCCUGUUUUGUUGGUUUCUGAAUCACCGUAAUGAUUAAUAGGGAUAGUUGGGGGCAUUAGUAUUCAAUUGUCAGAGGUGAAAUUCUUGGAUUUAUUGAAGACUAACUUCUGCGAAAGCAUUUGCCAAGGAUGUUUCCAUUAAUCAAGAACGAAAGUUAGGGGAUCGAAGACGAUCAGAUACCGUCGUAGUCUUAACCAUAAACUAUGCCGACUAGGGAUCGGACGAUGUUAAUUUUUCUUGACUCGUUCGGCGCCUUACGGGAA
This 538-nucleotide ribosomal RNA is filed under the name uncultured Glomeromycotina. Its description in RNAcentral is "SSU rRNA". It matches the Rfam family "Eukaryotic small subunit ribosomal RNA", at positions 552 to 1096 of the family's 1831-position model. Lineage: Eukaryota; Fungi; Glomeromycota. The record is from RNAcentral.